Molecule: unclassified non-coding RNA, 334 nt
Filed under: soil metagenome
Description: partial contains 5.8S ribosomal RNA, internal transcribed spacer 2, and large subunit ribosomal RNA
Rfam family: 5.8S ribosomal RNA (bases 1-120)
Source: RNAcentral
GAUGAAGAACGUAGCGAAAUGCGAUAAGUAAUGUGAAUUGCAGAAUUCAGUGAAUCAUCGAAUCUUUGAACGCACAUUGCGCCCGCCAGUAUUCUGGCGGGCAUGCCUGUUCGAGCGUCAUUUCAACCAUCAAGCCCUGCUUGCGUUGGGGUCCUGCGGCUGCCCGCAGGCCCUGAAAACCAGUGGCGGGCUCGCUAGUCACACCGAGCGCAGUAAUACAUCUCGCUUUGGGCGUGCGGCGGGUUCUUGCCGUUAAACACCCCCUUUUUACCAAGGUUGACCUCGGAUCAGGUAGGAAUACCCGCUGACCUUAAGCAUAUCAAUAAGCGGAGGA